GUUCGGUGGUGACGUCACGGUAGGGAGUCGUGGUGGAAGGUAGCCUCAGCCUAGUACUAGAACUAUGGCGUCUAACUGGGAUGAGGAAGAGGUGGAAAGAACCACAAAUUACAUUUAUGAUGGCCCACAGCCGUAUAAUUUCGAGCCUGUUAGACGUGAGGGGGCGAAUGAGGAAUUGCCGAGGAUUGAUGGCCGUCAAAGCCAAUUAAAUUCAUGGUCAGAGGAGAAUGGGUGGAGAGUUGGUGAGGUGUCCUGGUGUUUGUGUGGGCGGUGCCGUCCUAUGGAAUCUGUGGUGGAGAGCUUGUGCUGUAGGGAAGUGAGUGCGUUUUGGUCGCUGGUCGAGAAGCUCAGCCCAAGACCAGCAGAUGUGACAUGCCUCACUCAGCAUCCAGGAUUUGAUGCAUGCUGCCUGAAUCCGUUUGUGCUUAAGAUAGCGUACACACAUUUCAAGCAGGAUCAUGGUCCCCUUCAAGCCAGCACGCACGAGCAAUACCGGUACACUGCAUACAGGCAGGCUAUACGAUGGGCUUAUGGAGUUCUUGGCCUGCAUAUAAGGAAGCCUCUACCCUCCUGUCUGGUUUCAGCCAUCAGGCAACAAUUUCAGAGUGGUGACCAGACCUAUCAUGGCUUUCAAUGGCCUCGUUUGGAUGAAGAAUAAAAACCAUAUUGGCACGUACAACAUGAAUACAAUUAUUUUUCAGUUCAAGAAUUAACUCAUGCUAGUUGUGUUGCGAUCGCUCAACCGCCUUUAAAAUGUUAUAAAAUACACAGAACAUGUGAAUUCAUAUAAAAACAGUUUAUUAGGUCAUCC
Gadus macrocephalus (Pacific cod) is the source of this 811-nucleotide long non-coding RNA. RefSeq lists it as uncharacterized. NCBI's taxonomy places the organism in Eukaryota, Metazoa, Chordata, Actinopteri, Gadiformes, Gadidae. The record is from RefSeq and is a predicted model, not a curated record. The transcript is spliced from 3 exons.